Molecule: ribosomal RNA, 208 nt
Filed under: uncultured bacterium
Lineage: Bacteria
Description: partial 16S ribosomal RNA
Rfam family: Bacterial small subunit ribosomal RNA
Source: RNAcentral
CACGCAGGCGGUGACUUAAGUGAGGUGUGAAAGCCCCGGGCUUAACCUGGGAAUUGCAUUUCAUACUGGGUCGCUAGAGUACUUUAGGGAGGGGUAGAAUUCCACGUGUAGCGGUGAAAUGCGUAGAGAUGUGGAGGAAUACCGAAGGCGAAGGCAGCCCCUUGGGAAUGUACUGACGCUCAUGUGCGAAAGCGUGGGGAAGCAAACA